GAUGAACGCUGGCGGCGUGCCUAAUACAUGCAAGUCGAGCGAACGGACGAGAAGCUUGCUUUUCUGAUGUUAGCGGCGGACGGGUGAGUAACACGUGGAUAACCUACCUAUAAGACUGGGAUAACUUCGGGAAACCGGAGCUAAUACCGGAUAAUAUUUUGAACCGCAUGGUUCAAAAGUGAAAGACGGUCUUGCUGUCACUUAUAGAUGUAUCCUCGCUGCAUUAGCUAGUUGGUAAGGUAACGGCUUACCAAGGCAACGAUGCAUAGCCGACCUGAGAGGGUGAUCGGCCACACUGGAACUGAGACACGGUCCAGACUCCUACGGGAGGCAGCAGUAGGGAAUAUUCCGCAAUGGGCGAAAGCCUGACGGAGCAACGCCGCGUGAGUGAUGAAGGUCUUCGGAUCGUAAAACUCUGUUAUUAGGGAAGAACAUAUGUGUAAGUAACUGUGCACAUCUUGACGGUACCUAAUCAGAAAGCCACGGCUAACUACGUG
RNAcentral lists this ribosomal RNA (497 nucleotides) under uncultured bacterium. RNAcentral describes it as "partial 16S ribosomal RNA". It matches the Rfam family "Bacterial small subunit ribosomal RNA", at positions 28 to 507 of the family's 1533-position model. The record is from RNAcentral.